ACUCAAAUGAAUUGACGGGGACCCGCACAAGCGGUGGAUGAUGUGGAUUAAUUCGAUGCAACGCGAAAAACCUUACCUACCCUUGACAUGGCAGGAACUUUCCAGAGAUGGAUUGGUGCUCGAAAGAGAACCUGCGCACAGGUGCUGCAUGGCUGUCGUCAGCUCGUGUCGUGAGAUGUUGGGUUAAGUCCCGCAACGAGCGCAACCCUUGUCAUUAGUUGCUACGAAAGGGCACUCUAAUGAGACUGCCGGUGACAAACCGGAGGAAGGUGGGGAUGACGUCAAGUCCUCAUGGCCCUUAUGGGUAGGGCUUCACACGUCAUACAAUGGUCGGUACAGAGGGUUGCCAAGCCGCGAGGUGGAGCCAAUCCCAGAAAACCGAUCGUAGUCCGGAUCGCAGUCUGCAACUCGACUGCGUGAAGUCGGAAUCGCUAGUAAUCGCGGAUCAGAAUGCCGCGGUGAAUACGUUCCCGGGUCUUGUACACACCGCCCGU
RNAcentral lists this ribosomal RNA (494 nucleotides) under uncultured bacterium. RNAcentral describes it as "partial 16S ribosomal RNA". It matches the Rfam family "Bacterial small subunit ribosomal RNA", at positions 899 to 1397 of the family's 1533-position model. The record is from RNAcentral.